GACGAACGCUGGCGGCGUGCCUAAUACAUGCAAGUCGAGCGGGCCUCCGGAGGUGCUUGCACCUCCGGAAGGCCAGCGGCGGACGGGUGAGUAACACGUGGGCAACCUGCCUUUGAGGCCGGGAUAACACCGGGAAACCGGUGCUAAUACCGGAUGCGUCCCCUUUCGCGCCUGCGAGAGGGGAGAAAGACGGUCUUUAAGGCCGUCGCUCAACGAGGGGCCCGCGGCGCAUUAGCUGGUUGGGGGGGUAAGGGCCUACCAAGGCGACGAUGCGUUGCCGACCUGAGAGGGUGAUCGGCCACACUGGGACUGAGACACGGCCCAGACUCCUGCGGGAGGCAGCAGUAGGGAAUCAUCCGCAAUGGGCGAAAGCCUGACGGUGUAACGCCGCGUGAGUGAGGAAGGUUUUCGGAUCGUAAAGCUCUGUUGUGAGGGAAGAACAGCUUCCGGAGGAAAUGCCGGAGGUUUGCCGGUACCUCACCAGAAAGCCCCGGCUAACUACGUGCCAGCAGCCGCCGUAA
This 521-nucleotide ribosomal RNA is filed under the name uncultured bacterium. RNAcentral's name for it is "partial 16S ribosomal RNA". It matches the Rfam family "Bacterial small subunit ribosomal RNA", at positions 28 to 523 of the family's 1533-position model. The record is from RNAcentral.